GACAGAAAGAAUCAAAGAAGGCACCACUCUUGAAUACUUCUUUUCUCUUUUUUUUGCAGCCUGGGCCAUCAACUGCUAACAAGUGGUGGCUUGACAACCUGGUGACCCAGACAAAGCAAGGAGCAGUGCCAAGAGAGAGUCUCAGGGAAACUGCCCGUGGGAAUGGACGUGAGGAGGGUGUGAAGCAGAAGCAGGGCAUCAGCAGCAGCUCCUGCCAGCAGCACUCCAAGGCAAGGGAGCCUCCUCACAAGACCUUUGGCCAAAUGGCCACGGAUUUCCACAAGACCUUUGCCCAAAGGGCCAAGGACACUCACAAGAUCUCUGGCCAAAUGACCAAGCCUUUUCAGAAGACCUCUGGCCAAGUGGCUAAGGCUCCUCAGAAAUCUCAUGUUAUGAGCACACACAGCUCUCUGAAGCCUCCUGUGCACGCCAAGGAGCCAUUGCGGGUAUCAAAGAUUGUGGGUGUCAAAAGGCCCAGCGAGCCCCUGGUGCAUGACAAACCCAGGAAAGUCCGGAAGCUGGAGAGUAAGCCUGGUCCUUUGGAGGUCAGAGACCACUCCUCCAAAGACAAGCUGAAAGUCCAAGAAGCAGAGAACCCAAAACCUACUUUCAGAAGUGGCCUGACGCUGGGAGCGCAAAAACACUUUGAGAAGAGGAAGCACCAGGACCCUGACAAGAGCUGUGCCCGCGUGCCCAAGGCUCCUGGCCAGAGUUGGGGCCAAGUGGCCAAGGCUCGUCGUGAAUCUGAUGUUAGGUCCAAACUCAGCUUUCUGAAGCCUCCUGUGCGCACCAAGGAGGCCUUGCUCAGGAAUACUCUGGGUAUCAAAAGGCCCAGUAUGUCCUGGGUACACAAUGAAUCUAAGAGAGUCUGGAAGGCAGAGAGGGAGCCUGGUCGUUUGCAGGCCACAGACCAGUCUUGCAAGGACCAGCCCAAAGUCAAGAAAACAAUGAAGCCAAAAGCCACCAACAAAGAAGACCUGAAGCUGACACUUCAGAAGCUCUCUGAGAAGAGAAAGGACAGGGGCUCCCACCAAGCCAAUGCCAAAGGCUUUUUGGAGCCCAAGCUCCGGAAACAUGCUCAGGAAUGUGAUGCCCUCACCCCCAGUGGCCACAGGCCCAAGGAUUUGCACAAGAAGAAAGAGCCCUGGCCUCCUGGGGACAAGAGGUUGUUCUCGCCUGCAAGGGAAGCAGGCUUGAAGAGGAAAGCCAUGAUGAGUCCUGAGGAGUUCCCUAGAAAGAAGAAGAGGGAAGACAAGGGAGACACUCCCAGGAAGAAAAAGGAAUAAGACAAAAUAAUUUCAGCUUUCAGCAAGCACAGGCUCCAAUAAACUGAAGUGAGUAUGCCA
RNAcentral lists this long non-coding RNA (1346 nucleotides) under Junco hyemalis (dark-eyed junco). RNAcentral's name for it is "lncRNA (ENSJHYG00000004804.1)". Lineage: Eukaryota; Metazoa; Chordata; Aves; Passeriformes; Passerellidae. The record is from RNAcentral.